Molecule: ribosomal RNA, 1505 nt
Filed under: Escherichia coli O28ac:H-
Lineage: Bacteria; Pseudomonadati; Pseudomonadota; Gammaproteobacteria; Enterobacterales; Enterobacteriaceae
Description: 16S ribosomal RNA
Rfam family: Bacterial small subunit ribosomal RNA
Source: RNAcentral
ACAGAGUUUGAUCCUGGCUCAGGUUGAACGCUGGCGGCAGGCCUAACACAUGCAAGUCGAACGGUAACAGGAAGCAGCUUGCUGCUUCGCUGACGAGUGGCGGACGGGUGAGUAAUGUCUGGGAAACUGCCUGAUGGAGGGGGAUAACUACUGGAAACGGUAGCUAAUACCGCAUAACGUCGCAAGACCAAAGAGGGGGACCUUCGGGCCUCUUGCCAUCGGAUGUGCCCAGAUGGGAUUAGCUUGUUGGUGGGGUAACGGCUCACCAAGGCGACGAUCCCUAGCUGGUCUGAGAGGAUGACCAGCCACACUGGAACUGAGACACGGUCCAGACUCCUACGGGAGGCAGCAGUGGGGAAUAUUGCACAAUGGGCGCAAGCCUGAUGCAGCCAUGCCGCGUGUAUGAAGAAGGCCUUCGGGUUGUAAAGUACUUUCAGCGGGGAGGAAGGGAGUAAAGUUAAUACCUUUGCUCAUUGACGUUACCCGCAGAAGAAGCACCGGCUAACUCCGUGCCAGCAGCCGCGGUAAUACGGAGGGUGCAAGCGUUAAUCGGAAUUACUGGGCGUAAAGCGCACGCAGGCGGUUUGUUAAGUCAGAUGUGAAAUCCCCGGGCUCAACCUGGGAACUGCAUCUGAUACUGGCAAGCUUGAGUCUCGUAGAGGGGGGUAGAAUUCCAGGUGUAGCGGUGAAAUGCGUAGAGAUCUGGAGGAAUACCGGUGGCGAAGGCGGCCCCCUGGACGAAGACUGACGCUCAGGUGCGAAAGCGUGGGGAGCAAACAGGAUUAGAUACCCUGGUAGUCCACGCCGUAAACGAUGUCGACUUGGAGGUUGUGCCCUUGAGGCGUGGCUUCCGGAGCUAACGCGUUAAGUCGACCGCCUGGGGAGUACGGCCGCAAGGUUAAAACUCAAAUGAAUUGACGGGGGCCCGCACAAGCGGUGGAGCAUGUGGUUUAAUUCGAUGCAACGCGAAGAACCUUACCUGGUCUUGACAUCCACGGAAGUUUUCAGAGAUGAGAAUGUGCCUUCGGGAACCGUGAGACAGGUGCUGCAUGGCUGUCGUCAGCUCGUGUUGUGAAAUGUUGGGUUAAGUCCCGCAACGAGCGCAACCCUUAUCCUUUGUUGCCAGCGGUCCGGCCGGGAACUCAAAGGAGACUGCCAGUGAUAAACUGGAGGAAGGUGGGGAUGACGUCAAGUCAUCAUGGCCCUUACGACCAGGGCUACACACGUGCUACAAUGGCGCAUACAAAGAGAAGCGACCUCGCGAGAGCAAGCGGACCUCAUAAAGUGCGUCGUAGUCCGGAUUGGAGUCUGCAACUCGACUCCAUGAAGUCGGAAUCGCUAGUAAUCGUGGAUCAGAAUGCCACGGUGAAUACGUUCCCGGGCCUUGUACACACCGCCCGUCACACCAUGGGAGUGGGUUGCAAAAGAAGUAGGUAGCUUAACCUUCGGGAGGGCGCUUACCACUUUGUGAUUCAUGACUGGGGUGAAGUCAUAACAAGGUACCC